CACAUUUCGCAUUAACCUCAAACACAGAAGAAGAGGGGAGAGACAAAUCAGAGGGGAGCAGCGACGAAGAAGAGGGGAGAGACAAAUCAAAGGGGAGCAGCGACGAAGAAGAGGGAAGCGGCCACCAGCGAUAUUUCUUUUCCCUCUUUCAAUCAAACCUAACGUUUCUCUCCAUGAGCCUUUUUCAGUUGGCCAUCGAUCGAAGCAAGCGGCAAGCCCUAAGCCCUAAAUGAUAACACAUGGCUCAGAGACGAAAUCUGAAGAUUGUGUUUGAAUUUCUCUAACCUCUCUCGCCCUUUGUCUGAUCGGAAGGGAAAGUCUUGUUGGUGUUUGCUGGUUCAAUAAGUGAGAAUCUGAAGGAGGAGGAAACCCAGCUCUCUCUCUCUCCUCUCCUGCUACUUUCUUGGAUUUUAUACAGUGAGGUGGUUUUUUGACAAGUGCAGACUGAAACUCAAGUGGUAGAAGGUUUAUCAAUUUUUCAACUGAAGUGUUCAGAAAUUAAUGAUUUUCUUGACAAAUAGAUUUACUUCUUCUUUUGGAAUAUUGAUAAAUGUUGAAUUGUUUUGGCACAUUGAUAAAUGAUGAAUUGUAAAAAUGUUUUAACUCUUUUGAUAUAUUUAAUGGGAUAUGUAUGUUCUUUGAA
This is a long non-coding RNA of Cornus florida, 643 nucleotides long. RefSeq lists it as uncharacterized. The record is from RefSeq and is a predicted model, not a curated record. NCBI's taxonomy places the organism in Eukaryota, Viridiplantae, Streptophyta, Magnoliopsida, Cornales, Cornaceae. The transcript is spliced from 3 exons.